UACGUAGGGUCCGAGCGUUGUCCGGAAUUAUUGGGCGUAAAGGGUGCGUAGGCGGGUCUUUAAGUCAGGGGUGAAAUCCUGGAGCUCAACUCCAGAACUGCCUUUGAUACUGAGGAUCUUGAGUACGGGAGAGGUGAGUGGAACUGCGAGUGUAGAGGUGAAAUUCGUAGAUAUUCGCAAGAACACCAGUGGCGAAGGCGGCUCACUGGCCCGUAACUGACGCUGAGGCACGAAAGCGUGGGGAGCGAACAGG
This 253-nucleotide ribosomal RNA is filed under the name uncultured bacterium. RNAcentral's name for it is "partial 16S ribosomal RNA". It matches the Rfam family "Bacterial small subunit ribosomal RNA", at positions 524 to 776 of the family's 1533-position model. The record is from RNAcentral.